UGUACAGAAAAGCCCAGCUUGGGUGGGAAUGAGCCAUUCUGAGUCUGUUGCUGGAUGUUGGUCUGCAGCACUGCAGUAGCAAUGAUUAUAUUGGAGAAACAUCGUAUGCAGGGGCAGCAGCUGUCUACCCACUAGAUUACCAGCACGGUUUCUGACUUGAGGCACUGACAAACCAAGGAAACAGUCGACAAAGAUCAGCAGUCAGCUGGUGCAUGACAACAAACAAGAGCAGGAAUUCCAGAGAGCAGCAGAUGGACUGGCUGCAGUGGUAAUCAAGAGAAGAAAACCAUAAUAUUGUCCACUUGAAACCUGGGGAAAGAGAAAAGUGCUUCACAUAUUGACCACUUCCCUCCUGCCUUCUCUGACGUUGUUCUUCUACACAGAGACUUUUACAGAGCUUCUCAUGGAAUGCUGUUUUAGCACCCAUCCUGGGCAUCCCUAGAGUCCUGAGCCCUAGAGACAGUGAAAAUGUGAACCCAGAUCCAGGUCUUUUUUAUUCCUAGCUCCUCUUGGGAUGGUUA
Cygnus olor (mute swan) is the source of this 521-nucleotide long non-coding RNA. RefSeq lists it as uncharacterized. Lineage: Eukaryota; Metazoa; Chordata; Aves; Anseriformes; Anatidae. The transcript has 5 exons. The record is from RefSeq and is a predicted model, not a curated record.